GGGCCCGCACAAGCGGUGGAGUAUGUGGUUUAAUUCGAUGCAACGCGAAGAACCUUACCAGGGUUUGACAUCCUGCGAAUCUCUUGGAAACGAGAGAGUGCCUUCGGGAACGCAGUGACAGGUGCUGCACGGCUGUCGUCAGCUCGUGUUGUGAAAUGUUGGGGUUAAGUCCCGCAACGAGCGCAACCCCCUAUUGAUAGUUACCCAUCAUUAAGUUGGGGUACUCUAUUGAGACUGCCGCUGACAAGGCGGAGGAAGGUGGGGACGACGUCAAGUCAUCAUGGCCCUUACGACCAGGGGCUACACACGUGCUACAAUGGCUAGGACAGACGGCUGCAAACCAGCGAUGGGGAG
This 354-nucleotide ribosomal RNA is filed under the name uncultured bacterium. RNAcentral describes it as "bacterial SSU rRNA". It matches the Rfam family "Bacterial small subunit ribosomal RNA", at positions 917 to 1267 of the family's 1533-position model. The record is from RNAcentral.